RNAcentral lists this long non-coding RNA (1883 nucleotides) under Cricetulus griseus (Chinese hamster). Its description in RNAcentral is "lncRNA (ENSCGRG00015030274.1)". The stretch from base 1056 to 1123 matches the Rfam family "mir-24 microRNA precursor family". Lineage: Eukaryota; Metazoa; Chordata; Mammalia; Rodentia; Cricetidae. The record is from RNAcentral.
AGAGAGGGUGCCGGGAAGCCUGGAAAGGGGAGGGGCCCAGACUCAGGGGUCACCUGGCCUAGAGUCAGAAAUUCUUUUCCACAACAGCAAGAGAGGGUUGGGUGAGAUAAAAGGAGGGACUUCCUAGACUGGAGAAGGUGCUGUGGAAGUGAAGGUUCCUAUUUGGCAGGACCCCAGAGUACCCAGGCCCAAACUCAUUCCGGAUAUGGAGAAAGUUGGGCCUGAGUUGGGGGGGACAGGAGAGAGAGCGUGGGGCGGGCCGCCUCGGGGGCACAUGACGGCGGCGCCCGCCCCGCCCCGCGCCCGCCCCCUGCCCGGCCGUGGGGGGAGGAGACGCGGAGGUUUUAAAGGCGAUCUGGGCCGGCCGGCGGGGUGGGGCGCGGCCGGCGUCGUCUCGCCCGCGCGGAGCCCGGCUCCCCUCCCCCGCGGGGAAGUGGGGUCCGGCCCGGGAGAGACUCGCGGGGCGCGGGCGGCAGCAACUUUCCCGCUCGGGCCGGGGACGAGAGAGGGGCCGCGACCGGCCGGCCCCGGAGGCAGGAGCUGGAUCCCACUGCGGGCGACAGCAGGCCACCGAACCCCUGGGCUGUGCGUGACCUUCCCUCCUGGCCAGGCCCCACUGGCCAUCUGAGUGUCUAGGAAGUGCCCUGGCUCCCUGUACCUGCCCCCUUCCCAGCCUCCAGCAGCUGCCCGCCCCUGGCAGGGUGGCCCGAGAAGGUGCUACACUCCGAUCCUGCUUGCUGUCCCCUCACUGUGCCUUGGCCGGCUGGGGUUCCUGGGGAUGGGAUUUGAUGCCAGUCACAAAUCACAUUGCCAGGGAUUUCCAACUGACCUUGUGCUCUGCCUUGGAGGCUCCAGUUGCCAAGGAUGACUGCCUAUCUUGGGUACUGGGUGAGAGAGAAGCCCAGCAUGACAACUGGCCUGAGGAGCAGGGCUUAGCUGCUUGUGAGCAAGGUCCGCAGCAAGUCGUGUUCACAGUGGCUAAGUUCCGCUCCCCCGGGCCCCAUCUCCUCAGACUCUGCUGCCCACCCUGCUCUGCCUCCUUCUCCCUGGGCUCCGCCUCCUGUGCCUACUGAGCUGAAACAGUUGAUUCCAGUGCACUGGCUCAGUUCAGCAGGAACAGGAGUCCAGCCCCCUAGGAGCUGGCACCCCUACAGAAUGUCUGUCAUGACUUGAGACCUGGAUGGAGUAGGGACCUGGGAGGAGUGGGCCCAUCAGUUGUGCCUAGGCCCAGCUAUCUGCUAUAGCCCUUCCUCUAACCUUCAUCUGGAUAUGCCACUCCACAUGGCCACACCUUGAGAUUUUUUAUGGUCCCCACAGAGAAGAGAUGGAUGAGUGGCUGACCCUUGCAUAAAAGGCAGGCCAGCUGUACCCCCUCAGGGCCUGCAGCCCUUCUUCUCAUAAGCCCAGCGGGGCCCAGGCACCACCCCUUACACCUUCCCUGCAGUCACUUACCCAAGAGGAAGCUGCUUUUGGCCCUCUGACAGUUAAAUGCCAACUCCCAGCUUCCGCAACAAAGCACUGACCUUACCCGGUGUGCUUGGUGCCCCACGAGGCCUGCAGCUUUCCACUGGAGACAGUGAUUCAGGGAGCAAGUCCACAGGGCCCUAAAAGGGUAGGAACAGAUCCACCCCUUCCCCUGGUACUGGGGCUUGCUGGAGUAGUCUCCAGGCUUGGAAGUUAAAAAGUUGCCUGUAUCUCCAAACCAGACAGGAUGCAGGCAUUGGCAUGGGGUUAAGUUACACUUCCCAGAUCACCCAGUGUCCCCUCCCAACCCUGGGUAGCGGCAAAUGGAGGCUUGGGUGGAAGAACAGAGAGGUGGAGCUUGUAUUGAAUGUUGUGCCUGUUUUCCAAUUAAAUAAAAGCUUCCCAGCUUCAUUCCUUAA